Clupea harengus (Atlantic herring) is the source of this 2182-nucleotide long non-coding RNA. Lineage: Eukaryota; Metazoa; Chordata; Actinopteri; Clupeiformes; Clupeidae. The record is from Ensembl.
CAUCUGGUCCACGAAGUCGUCACCAAGCUUUGCACUCUGGGAUUUGUGGUUUGUAGCAGAUCCAGUAGGACAUGAAGACCAAGAAAUGCACCAACAAAUCCCAUAAUGCAUGCGGCACCUCUGCAGCUAGCGCUCACACGAAAUGCAGCCGCGCGCCUGUUGCUCAGUCUUUAGCUGGAUCGCCGCUGAACGUGAACUACCUCGUGUGUCUACCGGGCAGAUGGAUGUGUCUACCGUGCAGAGAGAUGUGUCUACCGUGCAGAGAGAUGUGCAGCCUUCGUGGUGCUCAAGCCGUCCUGAUGGCUCAGUCGUUGUGGACUUUUAACUCAGUGUCUUGAAAUGGUUCAGUCGUUGUGGACCUUUAACUCAGUGCCUUGAAAUGGCUCAGUCGUUGUGGACCUGUAACUCAGUGUCUUGAACCGAUCACUCCGAUCACCUCUCCGUGGCCUGACGUGCGCAUCCCAUCCGUCGAAAUGAAGGAGGGCCCACGGAGACCGAAGGGCUGUGAUUGGUCCAACCCACGGGGACCGAAGGGCUGUGAUUGGUCCAACCCACGGGGACCGAAGGGCUGUGAUUGGUCCAACCCACGGGGACCGAAGGGCUGUGAUUGGUCCAACCCACGGAGACCGAAGGGCUGUGAUUGGUCCAACCCACGGAGACCGAAGGGCUGUGAUUGGUCCAACCCAUGCUGUUUACCUUGUAGAUGGUUCAGUCGUUGUGGACCUUUACCAGUGUCUUGAAAAAACCAUAUUGUUGCAUGGAGCAAAGCUGAUUGGCCAGUUGGAACAGGAAGUUGGGAAACACUAGUUUAAAUAUGUCUCUCUGUUUGUAAUGUGUAAUACAUUUGUAAUUAAAUGCCCACACACACACACACACACUAGUUUAAAUCUGUCUCUCUGUUUGUAAUGUGUAAUACAUUCUGUAAUUAAAUGCCCACACACACACACACUAGUUUAAAUCUGUCUCUCUGUUUGUAAUGUGUAAUACAUUCUGUAAUUAAAUGCCCACACACACACACACUAGUUUAAAUCUGUCUCUCUGUUUGUAAUGUGUAAUACAUUCUGUAAUUAAAUGUAAUACAUCUCUAAAUGAUCAAAAUGGGUAGUUUGGCUUUGAGAAUGAAUGUAGACCCUAACCCCCCUAAGUACUGUUGAAUGCCCACACACACACACUGUUGAAUGCCCAACCCCACACACACACAGGUUCCUGAGAAGUGCAAGUUAUACACACACACACACCUGAGAGAGGUGCAGGUCUCACACACACACACACACCUGAGAGAGGUGCAGGUUACACACACACACACACAGGCAGGUUCCUGAGAGAGGUGCAGGUUAUACACACACACACACAGAGGCAGGUUACACACACCUGAGAGAGGUGCAGGUUACACACACACACACACACACAGAGGCAGGUUACACACACACACCUGAGAGGUGCAGGUUACACACACACACACAGGCAGGUUCCUGAGAGAGGUGCAGGUUAUACACACACACACAGAGGCAGGUUACACACACCUGAGAGAGGUGCAGGUUACACACACACACACAGAUCAGAUCAGAUGCUAACUGUGCAUUUGACACCUUCCAAUCUGGUUUUCGUUCCAAUCAUAGCACAAACGGCAUUAGUCAAGGUUGUAAAUGAUCUCCGGAUUAAUGCUGACUCCAAAAAAAACAUCUGUCUUGGCCCUUCUGGAUCUGAGCGCAGCUUUUGAUACUGUUGAUCACGAUAUCCUUAUUGAUAGACUUGAAAAUUGGGUUGGCCUCACUGGUCCGGUAGCCUAUCCAACUGGCCGGGAAUACUUUGUUGCCCUCGGAGACCACAGCUCAAAAAACAUUUGUAUGACCUGUGGGGUCCCUCAAGGAUCCAUUUUAGGGCCCUUACUUUUCAGUCUAUACAUGCUACCCCUUAGUCGAUGUUGUGCCUCCUAAUUACACUACCAUCAUAGCUAUGCAGAUGACACCCAGCUCUAUAUUUCUGUAACACCCAACAACUGCAGCUCUGUUGAUUGUUUGGUAAAUUGCAUUUCUGAUAUAAAUGUAUGGAUGUCACAAAACUUCUCCAGCUAAACAAGAUUAAAACAGGUAUUAGUCAUUGGUGAAAAAACGAAAGAGAGAAACUAUCUGCACACUUAAAAACACUAGCACUUAACACCAAGCACCAAGCCAGAAACCUA